AGCAGCCGCGGUAAUUCCAGCUCCAAUAGCGUAUAUUAAAGUUGUUGCAGUUAAAAAGCUCGUAGUUGAAUUUCGGGGUCAGUAGAUUGGUCGUGCCACUGGUAUGUACUGGUCUUACUGGCUCCUCCUUCCUGAUGAACCGUAAUGCCAUUAAUUUGGUGUUGCGGGGAGACUGGACUGUUACUUUGAAAAAUUGAGUGUUUAAAGCAGGCUAACGCUUGAAUACAUUAGCAUGGAAUAAUGAAAUAGGACGUUCGAUCUUAUUUUGUUGGUUUCUAGGAUUGACGUAAUGAUUAAUAGGGAUAGUUGGGGGCAUUAGUAUUCAAUUGUCAGAGGUGAAAUUCUUGGAUUUAUUGAAGACUAACUACUGCGAAAGCAUUUGCCAAGGAUGUUUUCAUUAAUCAAGAACGAAAGUUAGGGGAUCGAAGACGAUCAGAUACCGUCGUAGU
This 449-nucleotide ribosomal RNA is filed under the name uncultured Glomeromycotina. RNAcentral describes it as "SSU rRNA". It matches the Rfam family "Eukaryotic small subunit ribosomal RNA", at positions 569 to 1024 of the family's 1831-position model. Lineage: Eukaryota; Fungi; Glomeromycota. The record is from RNAcentral.